AUGGAUAAAACACAAAGUUGAAAGCAUAACAGGUGGAGAAGAAUUUAGUUACAAUAUUGUUUCUCGUAUAGCCUUCCUCUCUUUUCUCUACAUUUGACCUACUUAAAUGCCCCUUUAUGUUUAAGAUUUUUCCGACAAAACUGAUGGGCUACCAUAGCAAUAUCAGUAUGAAUCGUUAUCACAUAAUUGAAACAAAACAAUCAACGAUAACAUAGAGGCCAUACUCAAAAAAAUUCUACAACCUGUUACCGAAAUUUCUAGUAAAAGCAUCUGCAUCUAAAACAAAAUCCUACAGCCUCCUAAUUGAAACAGAAACGAUAAGCGGAUUUCUUUAAUGUUCAAGGCUAUCAUUUAACCGUAACAUGAACGAACCCCCAAAAGAACACAAACACGGACCGAAAAAGCACAAAUAAGCAAGAACAUCAACCACACAUUAUCGAAAGCAAUUGAGAAAGGAAAAGUUAUGAACCAACCGACAAAGCUGAUGAACACUAUUCAGGACAAGCUUGUUAACAAUCCAUCCACUCCUCUUCGCACUUGAAUUUGGCUUGUGCUUGUCCUACUUCUGCCUCAAAUCCCAAUCGUAAACCUCCGCGACAUUGGUGUCUUCACGGAGUCACGGCGUACGGUUGAACGAAAGCAUUUUGGUGGUUAUUCAUGUUAGAUCGGAGGUGUAGCGUUGAAGGGUCGACGUCGUCGGCAUCGGUGUGGGGGACGAUCGAAGGAGGAGAUUUGUGAAGUUGAUGGAGGUUCGUGUGUAGUCGCGGAGUUUGGUUUUGAGGGUUUCGCGGCGGCGGUUCGGUGAAGGUUAAGGAAGA
This 818-nucleotide long non-coding RNA is filed under the name Lathyrus oleraceus (garden pea). Its description in RNAcentral is "Pisum sativum (pea) long non-coding RNA (PSAT_LNC039728)". The record is from RNAcentral. Lineage: Eukaryota; Viridiplantae; Streptophyta; Magnoliopsida; Fabales; Fabaceae.